RNAcentral lists this long non-coding RNA (366 nucleotides) under Rattus norvegicus (Norway rat). RNAcentral describes it as "long non-coding RNA NONRATT030983". Lineage: Eukaryota; Metazoa; Chordata; Mammalia; Rodentia; Muridae. The record is from RNAcentral.
GCCCACCAGUUUGCCUGGCACUUUGUCCAGUUCACCAUGCAACCUGCUUCUGCAAAGUGGAAGACUGAAUGGGCUAUAUGAUGGAUCACAUGGGUGGUGAUGAGGAUGCAGAUUUACCAGAAGUAGAUGGAGCAGAUGAUGAUUCACAAGACAGUGAUGAUGAAAAAAUGCCAGAUCUGGAGUAAAGAGUGGUGUCACCACCUGGAUUUUGAGGGAAAAAAAUAACUUCUGCUUAUGCCCUGGCUGGAAAACCUCAAUUUAUGUUCAUGACAGUGGGGAUUUUUUUAAAUGUCUACAUUCUUUCUAAUAAACUGUUGGAUGAUUUUAAAAAAAUAAAUAAAAAAAUAAAAGUGACUUUGGACUAUU